Molecule: long non-coding RNA, 2079 nt
Organism: Taeniopygia guttata (zebra finch)
Lineage: Eukaryota; Metazoa; Chordata; Aves; Passeriformes; Estrildidae
Source: RefSeq, a predicted model, not a curated record
AAGCUAAAGAAUGUCUAUUUGGGCCAUACAGUCACGCACUUCAACAACAACCACCACUCCUCCUCCCAUGUUCAGCUGCUGAUGGUUUAGGACACUGAUGCUGUAGCAAUGCUCAGUGCAGGUCUCCUGAUAUUUCUGAUAAGGACUCACCGGUAGAGUCUCCCAUAAAAGCCUCAGGGCGUAACUGAGGCUCGUCUCUCUGCAAAACGCACCUACCUCCACUGACAGCUACUGGGAAUAUUUCCAAACUGCUGUCUUUGGUGCUCCUUGGGGACCCUCUAUCUAGCUAAUAAAUAAAGAGAAGCUAGAAGUUUCCUUCAAACACACUAGAGCAAGAAAGGAACUUGCAGCUAGUGCAUGCUGGAAAAGAAGAAACUGUCCUACAAGGCCUAGCGUUACAGCCUCCAUGGAAAAGAAACAGGGAGAAAAAAAGGUAUUUCUACUGUAUGACCUUAAACUGAGAAAUACUGACUCAGUGUUGAAACAACCUCUCUUUUCUGCAGUUCUGAGUUACCGGAGAGAAGACAAUAAAGUUAGCCCUUAUCCAUCAUCUACAAGUUUAGCAGAAGAGAUCAGUGUCCCAAGUUCCAUCUGACAGAGGGACUUGAAGAGAAAAAAAGCACAAACAAACAACAAAACCACAUAAUAAAGUAAACACUGAUUACACUUCACUGAAAACACGGACUACCAAGUUCAAUUUUCUACAUACUUCAGUUUAAAAAAGGUCUUGAAAAUUGCAACAUCCCCCGUUUCUGCUUCAGCAUUUCUGACUUAAUUGACUAGUGACAAUUACACAAUUUAUUUUUAUGCUCAAUACCAAACUCUCACAGUUUGCGAGAGCACAGAAUUUACCGAGCAAGAACACAUCUGACAAAAACGGAGAUGUAACGCGUAGUUUAAACAAUGCUCACCAUUCCACUGAGGAUAAUUAAGCACCCUCCUCAUCACUUCACCUGUUCUGGGGGGUUGGUGGGAGGAAUGGGGGUUUCUCGCGGCCCCAGCAAGCCCAAAGGCCCGGCACAGCCCGGCACAGCCCGGCACAGCCCGGCACAGCCCGGCCGGGCGCUGCCCCGUGCGGCUCCAGCGCUGCGCUGUGGCGGGGGGGCCGCCUGCUGCAUCCCGCCGCCUGCGGCUGCACCAACGCGCUCCCAGCACGCCCACGGCCGCCAACACAAUGGAAACGCAGCCGUGAGGGACAGGGCUUGACCUGAAAAGAAGCCAAGCUUGGGAACUCAUGCAGCUUCCAGCCACACGCAUGAAUGGUGGCUUGUAGCAGUUUAAAAGGGAGAAGCUUGGGAAGCAGGUGAGGAAGUUUGCCUGGGCUGAAAAAACCAGAUCAUUCAUCACAUUAUGGCCCAUCUGCACUCUGUUCAUGGGGAAUAUUGCUGGUGCUACUUAAGGGCUGGUGCUUUUGAAUAUUAACUCCAGUAUUUUGUUAUAAAUUUACCACUGUAGGUACAGUGAGCAACAACACUUUCAGCCCAGAUGUGGACAAAGCAUCCUUCCAACUGAAAAUCAGUCAAAAGAGUGAUCACAAUGAUUGAAGCUUGGGAACUUUCAAUAAACCGCAACCAGAAUCAAUGAACAUAAAAUCAUGCCUCAUCACCAAAUGCCAUGGAAGAUAACAGAAAAAAAGGAAUCUUCUUCAUAUACAUCACGCGAGAGGCCAAAAUCAGAAAUCUUCAUUUUGCGCCCUUCUGCCACCAGCACGUUCCUGGCUGCUAAAUCCCGAUGCACAAGCUUUUGGAAGGAAACAACAGGAGUGUUUAUGCUUCUUGUGAGGAACCAGCUGCUUGCUCCACGUCUAUCACACGCUGAGAUCACCCCUGCCUGCCCUACCUUCAUUUCUGCAAGAAUUCUUCACACUGACAAGCUUCCUCUUUGAGUGCACUGGGGCUUGAAGGAGAUCUCUAGUCAUAAAGACACCAUAGGUCAGAGAUAACCCUUCUUCUUCCUCAUCCUUAAUCUCUCUGACACACAGAACCAGCCUGGACAGUUCCUCCAGUGUCAUCACUGGGCAUUGACAAGGAUGUGCUCAUCCUGAUUUAAGGAUAAUAAAAACAAGUUUGGCUUCUGCUC